RNAcentral lists this ribosomal RNA (253 nucleotides) under uncultured bacterium. RNAcentral describes it as "partial 16S ribosomal RNA". It matches the Rfam family "Bacterial small subunit ribosomal RNA", at positions 524 to 776 of the family's 1533-position model. The record is from RNAcentral.
UACGUAGGUGGCAAGCGUUAUCCGGAUUUACUGGGUGUAAAGGGAGCGUAGGCGGCAGGGCAAGCCUGAUGUGAAAGCCCGGGGCUCAACCCCGGGACUGCAUUGGGAACUGCCCUGCUGGAGUGCCGGAGGGGCAGGCGGAAUUCCUAGUGUAGCGGUGAAAUGCGUAGAUAUUAGGAGGAACACCAGUGGCGAAGGCGGCCUGCUGGACGGUGACUGACGCUGAGGCUCGAAAGCGUGGGGAGCAAACAGG